AGAAGUGAGGAGGAGCCUCUGCCUGCUGUGCCUGGAGCCCAUCAGUCUCUGAGUGACCAGCAAGGUGAAUCAGCAAAGGAUGGAGACAAGCACAAGCAGUAGUACCGAAAGAAUACCAGGCUGCCAACAAAGGAGCAGGAGGAUGCUAAGAGUGGAGGAAGCCCAGCAGUUCAUCUGGCAGAAACCUGCUUCUGAGAAGCAGAGGAGAGGGG
RNAcentral lists this long non-coding RNA (212 nucleotides) under Gallus gallus (chicken). Lineage: Eukaryota; Metazoa; Chordata; Aves; Galliformes; Phasianidae. The record is from RNAcentral.